Molecule: long non-coding RNA, 234 nt
Filed under: Lathyrus oleraceus (garden pea)
Lineage: Eukaryota; Viridiplantae; Streptophyta; Magnoliopsida; Fabales; Fabaceae
Description: Pisum sativum (pea) long non-coding RNA (PSAT_LNC018410)
Source: RNAcentral
UUUUUCCAUGAUCUUCAAAAAAUCAUAACUAAUUGUAAAAUCAUCCAAUUAAUUCCAGGUUUUUUGCUACUUGAUCCUUGAAAUAUCUAGAAUUUUAUGGUUUUGAUUUUAUGAUUUUUCCAUUUCUGGAUUUUGAAUUGUGGCUGAUUAUGUGGACAUGUAUGCUUUUGUGACAUUGCCUUGUUCUUUCCAUUGUGAAAUGCUUGAUAUUGAUCCAAUUGCCAUGAAAUUUUG